MicroRNA precursor from Nicotiana attenuata, 105 nucleotides. It matches the Rfam family "MIR6152 microRNA precursor family". The record is from Rfam. NCBI's taxonomy places the organism in Eukaryota, Viridiplantae, Streptophyta, Magnoliopsida, Solanales, Solanaceae.
UGGAUAGAUUAUUGUAUUCAACUGUAUUCGACUGUAUUCACAGCGUGAAACAAGGAUUACACUGUUUUUAAACGGAAAGUGAAUCAAUUAACAUAAUAGACUCCU